This 252-nucleotide ribosomal RNA is filed under the name uncultured bacterium. RNAcentral describes it as "partial 16S ribosomal RNA". It matches the Rfam family "Bacterial small subunit ribosomal RNA", at positions 524 to 777 of the family's 1533-position model. The record is from RNAcentral.
UACGGGGGGGCAAGCGUUGUUCGGAUUCAUUGGGCGUAAGGGUGCGUAGGCGGUCUUAUAAGUCAGUGCUGAAAUAUCCCGGCUUAACCCGGGAGGGUGGCAUUGAUACUGUAGGACUUGAGUAGAGUUGAGGUUGGCGGAAUUGACGGUGUAGCGGUGAAAUGCUUAGAUAUCGUCAAGAACACCGAUAGUGAAGACAGCUAACUAAGCUCAACAUGCGCUGAGGCACGAAAGUGUGGGGAUCAAACAGGG